UUUUGUGUUUCUCACUUUCGUGCCCUGCGCGAGUCUCUCCCUUUUCCGGCGUCUCUCAUAGGUUCACCACCGUCGAGUGAUCCGGCGCCUCCCAACUGGUCAUUCUCUCUGGCACCUCCCCACUCGGCAGACUCUCCGGCGCCGACAGUUGCUGCUCCUUCACCGGCUGAAGCUUCUGAUUCAAGGUAAGUUUCUGCGCUCACCAGUUGCUGCUCCUCCUUCACCGUUUGACGAGGGCUUCGGCGAGAGCCACCCCUCGCAGAUCUGGGCAACGGCUGC
Molecule: long non-coding RNA, 279 nt
Filed under: Eucalyptus grandis
Lineage: Eukaryota; Viridiplantae; Streptophyta; Magnoliopsida; Myrtales; Myrtaceae
Description: long non-coding RNA (EGRA_LNC004592)
Source: RNAcentral